GACGAACGCUGGCGGCGUGCUUAACACAUGCAAGUCGAACGGAAAGGCCCUGCUUUUGUGGGGUGCUCGAGUGGCGAACGGGUGAGUAACACGUGAGUAACCUGCCCUUGACUUUGGGAUAACUUCAGGAAACUGGGGCUAAUACCGGAUAGGAGCUCCUGCUGCAUGGUGGGGGUUGGAAAGUUUCGGCGGUUGGGGAUGGACUCGCGGCUUAUCAGCUUGUUGGUGGGGUAGUGGCUUACCAAGGCUUUGACGGGUAGCCGGCCUGAGAGGGUGACCGGGCACCAUGGGACUGAGGUACGGGCCAGACUCCUACGGGAGGCAGCAGUGGGGAAUAUUGCACAAUGGGCGGAAGCCUGAUGCAGCAACGCCGCGUGCGGGAUGACGGCCUUCGGGUUGUAAACCGCUUUCGCCUGUGACGAAGCGUGAGUGACGGUAAUGGGUAAAGAAGCACCGGCUAACUACGUG
Molecule: ribosomal RNA, 468 nt
Filed under: uncultured bacterium
Lineage: Bacteria
Description: partial 16S ribosomal RNA
Rfam family: Bacterial small subunit ribosomal RNA
Source: RNAcentral